Molecule: small nucleolar RNA, 110 nt
Filed under: Eremothecium gossypii ATCC 10895
Lineage: Eukaryota; Fungi; Ascomycota; Saccharomycetes; Saccharomycetales; Saccharomycetaceae
Description: Ashbya gossypii ATCC 10895 Small nucleolar RNA snR87
Rfam family: Small nucleolar RNA snR87
Source: Rfam by way of RNAcentral
UCAAGUGUAUGAUGAUAUAAUUUGCGGUCUAGGGCGGCUACCCUGGGGCACAGCCAUGCUCCGCAAUGGGGUUGCCGCGGCAUGCGAAAGCUUUUUGUUCUGACCAUUAU